RNAcentral lists this transfer RNA (73 nucleotides) under Candidatus Taylorbacteria bacterium RIFCSPHIGHO2_01_FULL_51_15. RNAcentral describes it as "tRNA-Thr". It matches the Rfam family "tRNA". From Rfam's summary of the family: Transfer RNA (tRNA) molecules are approximately 80 nucleotides in length. Their secondary structure includes four short double-helical elements and three loops (D, anti-codon, and T loops). The record is from RNAcentral. Lineage: Bacteria; Candidatus Tayloriibacteriota.
GCCGGAGUAGCUCAGUUGGUAGAGCAGCGCUUUUGUAAAGCGCGGGUCGUGGGUUCAAGUCCCUCCUCCGGCU